Peromyscus maniculatus bairdii (prairie deer mouse) is the source of this 534-nucleotide non-coding RNA. NCBI's taxonomy places the organism in Eukaryota, Metazoa, Chordata, Mammalia, Rodentia, Cricetidae. The record is from RefSeq and is a predicted model, not a curated record.
AGGGGCAUGGAGUUAAUUAUUAGCGUACAUUGUGCUGGCUAAUCAGCCAUGUCUCCGUUUAGGGCAGGUUAGGGCACAUUAGACGGUAACUCUGCCCGCGAGGAUACCAUCCACAGCGGGUGACUGCUGCCUUAGGAGCCUGACGUUCGGAUGAGGCAGUGCAUCCUGCCAGCACAUGUCCAGCAUGGAAGAGUGGGCAGCUUCUUUUGAGUCUCCAGGUGACCCUGUACAACAACUGGAGAGGAGCAGUGAGGUCCUACUGACAAUACAGGACACGUGGGGUCGCCAGCGUUGAUGGUCACUUCUCCAGAUUUGAUGUUGGAACCCAGGGCUUGUGAGUCAGAGCACAAUGUCAAGUCCGACUAUUAUCUAGUUCUCCUUUCAAAGGACACAUGGAAGAAACCAACCUGAGUUUCCUGAGUGACAGUGGGAUUCAGUGAUCCCCGGGACUCCCGACCUAUGAAGUAGGACAAUAUGGAAGGUUCCCGAGCUGCGCACCACACAGCAUCAUGUUCUGUGAUCAUGCUUCCUCAA